UGGGGAAUAUUGCACAAUGGGCGCAAGCCUGAUGCAGCCAUGCCGCGUGUGUGAAGAAGGCCUUCGGGUUGUAAAGCACUUUCAGCGAGGAGGAAGGUGGUGAACUUAAUACGUUCAUCAAUUGACGUUACUCGCAGAAGAAGCACCGGCUAACUCCGUGCCAGCAGCCGCGGUAAUACGGAGGGUGCAAGCGUUAAUCGGAAUUACUGGGCGUAAAGCGAGUGUAGGCGGUUGCCGUAGUCAGGUGUGAAAGCCUUGAGCUCAACUCAAGAAAUGCACUUGAUACUGGGUNACUAGAGGACCGGAGAGGAUAGUGGGAAAUUCCCCAGUGUAGUGGUGAAAUACGUAGAGAUUGGGGAAAGAACACCAGUGGCGAAGGCGGCUAUCUGGACGGUUACUGACGCUAAGACUCGAAAGCGUGGGGAGCAAACAGGAUUAGAUACCCCUGGUAGUCCACGCCGUAAAGCGAUGGGUGCUAGACGUUGGCGAGCUUGCUCGUCAGUGUCGCAGUAACGCGUAGCACCCCGCCUGGGGGAGUACGGCCCGCAAGGUUGAAACUUAAAUGAAUUGCGGGGGUCAUAGCUGUUU
This 588-nucleotide ribosomal RNA is filed under the name uncultured bacterium. Its description in RNAcentral is "partial 16S ribosomal RNA". It matches the Rfam family "Bacterial small subunit ribosomal RNA", at positions 355 to 935 of the family's 1533-position model. The record is from RNAcentral.